UGGCGGACGGGUGAGUAACGCGUGGGUAACCUGCCCUGUACAGGGGGAUAACAGUCAGAAAUGACUGCUAAUACCGCAUAAGACCACAGCACCGCAUGGUGCAGGGGUAAAAACUCCGGUGGUACAGGAUGGACCCGCGUCUGAUUAGCUGGUUGGCAGGGUAACGGCCUACCAAGGCAACGAUCAGUAGCCGGUCUGAGAGGAUGAACGGCCACAUUGGAACUGAGACACGGUCCAAACUCCUACGGGAGGCAGCAUG
RNAcentral lists this ribosomal RNA (259 nucleotides) under uncultured bacterium. RNAcentral describes it as "partial 16S ribosomal RNA". It matches the Rfam family "Bacterial small subunit ribosomal RNA", at positions 96 to 353 of the family's 1533-position model. The record is from RNAcentral.